RNAcentral lists this ribosomal RNA (403 nucleotides) under uncultured Oscillibacter sp. Its description in RNAcentral is "bacterial SSU rRNA". It matches the Rfam family "Bacterial small subunit ribosomal RNA", at positions 356 to 774 of the family's 1533-position model. The record is from RNAcentral. Lineage: Bacteria; Bacillati; Bacillota; Clostridia; Eubacteriales; Oscillospiraceae.
GGGGAAUAUUGGACAAUGGGCGAAAGCCUGAUCCAGCCAUGCCGCGUGUGUGAAGAAGGUCUUCGGAUUGUAAACUUCUUUUAAGGGGGAAGAGUAGAAGACGGUACCCCUUGAAUAAGCCACGGCUAACUACGUGCCAGCAGCCGCGGUAAUACGUAGGUGGCAAGCGUUGUCCGGAUUUACUGGGUGUAAAGGGCGUGUAGCCGGGAAGGCAAGUCAGAUGUGAAAUCUGGAGGCUCAACCUCCAAACUGCAUUUGAAACUGCUUUUCUUGAGUGUCGGAGAGGUAAUCGGAAUUCCUUGUGUAGCGGUGAAAUGCGUAGAUAUAAGGAAGAACACCAGUGGCGAAGGCGGAUUACUGGACGAUAACUGACGGUGAGGCGCGAAAGCGUGGGGAGCAAACA